Molecule: microRNA, 22 nt
Filed under: Caenorhabditis remanei
Lineage: Eukaryota; Metazoa; Nematoda; Chromadorea; Rhabditida; Rhabditidae
Description: crm-miR-64a-5p
Gene: crm-miR-64a-5p
Source: miRBase by way of RNAcentral
UAUGACACUGUUGCGUAGCAUG